AAUAAGGUCAUUUUUCAGUUUUUAGAUACAAAGUUUUAACUCUUCAUCUUAUUUAAAAUCUUUUUGAGAUUAAUAUUUUUUUCACUACUAGAUGAUAAAAUAUGAAUAGUACUUUAUGCAUGACUAAUUUUUUAAAGUUUUUUAUAAAUUUUUCAAUAAGAUGAAUGGUCAAAGCAUUAGGCAUAGAAAUCGAAAAAUGAUGUUAUU
This 207-nucleotide microRNA precursor is filed under the name Oryza brachyantha (malo sina). RNAcentral describes it as "MIR812 microRNA precursor family". It matches the Rfam family "MIR812 microRNA precursor family". Lineage: Eukaryota; Viridiplantae; Streptophyta; Magnoliopsida; Poales; Poaceae. The record is from Rfam by way of RNAcentral.